Molecule: long non-coding RNA, 247 nt
Organism: Rhipicephalus microplus (southern cattle tick)
Lineage: Eukaryota; Metazoa; Arthropoda; Arachnida; Ixodida; Ixodidae
Source: RefSeq, a predicted model, not a curated record
UUCCGCGGCUUGUGUGCCAUUCUCGUGGUCAUGCUUGCCCACUCUGGUUUCGGUCUUCAAGCCUGAUCUUCAGUGAUCCUCACCUCUGAGAAGAUCCUGCCCGGAUCACCCGUGGGUCUCUCGGUUGGGACUGGAGACGUGUUCCCGGGGGCAAGGCGGCUGCCAUGUUCCUGCGCGGGUUCGUGCACGUCCCGCACCCGGAGUUCGAUCGCUGUCGAGGAAGUUUCAGUGCUGUCAGUUCAACUCU